GAAGUUUACAAAGAUAUUCAUUCACAUUCAAACAGUUGAGGGGGGCGAUUUUUCGAUUCCCAGUAUUUUGUCGGGGAAGCGUCGCUUUCAUCAUCUCACUUGUCAAUUUUUCAUUUUUGCCCCUCUUUUUAUUUUGUUGUUUCUGAAAGACCCCCAAUUUUUUCCGUGUUUUGGGGUUUUCAGCAUUCUAGAAUUGGAAGAAAGCUUCCAUUUUAGUGGCGGUCAUCAAAAUCUGGCUGCGUCUCUCUCCAAUUUAGCUGAUUGUAGCUUUUUUUUUUUUUUUUUUUUUCUGUGGAAAAGUUUGACGAAUUAAUUGUGAUCUCAGUGGUUUUUUAUGAUCUCGGUGUUCGAGAUUUCUCUGUGAGAUUUGGAAAUUGGUUACUGGGGUUUUAUGCAUGAAUUGAAUUUGGGGGAGGUACAGUAAAUUUUUUUUCUCCAUUUUUUUGAUUGAUGACUCAGUGAGUAGGUUGAUUGAUUUGAUGAAGAACUCAGUGGGUUUAGGGUUAUGUGAUAAAUCGAAAUUGAAGUAUAAUUGGUAGGAAAUGUUGUGGGUAGAUUUGAUUUAGAGAGGCUGUAGUGAGUGAGAUGUCAUCUGCAUCUCCAUCCCCAAAUUCUCCUCCGGUAGCUGCCGCUCCGCCACCUCAGCCUUCUCCUUCUCCGCCGGCGAAUUCUUCCCCACCGCCUCAAUCGAAUUCACCUCCUCCACAAACUCCUAUUGCACCACCACCUCAGCCCAAUUCACCUCCGCCCCAACCCAAUUCUCCUCCACCGGACCCCCNNN
This 781-nucleotide long non-coding RNA is filed under the name Erythranthe guttata (spotted monkey flower). RNAcentral describes it as "long non-coding RNA (EGUT_LNC002332)". The record is from RNAcentral. Lineage: Eukaryota; Viridiplantae; Streptophyta; Magnoliopsida; Lamiales; Phrymaceae.